GACAGGGGUCUCGAGCGUUAAUCGGAAUUACUGGGCGUAAAGCGUGCGCAGGCGGUCCGCAAAGUCUGAUGUGAAAGCCCCGGGCUCAACCUGGGAACUGCAUUGGAAACUAACGGGCUCGAGUGUGGCAGAGGGGGGUGGAAUUCCACGUGUAGCAGUGAAAUGCGUAGAGAUGUGGAGGAACACCGAUGGCGAAGGCAGCCCCCUGGGCUAACACUGACGCUCAGGCACGAAAGCGUGGGGAGCAAACAGG
RNAcentral lists this ribosomal RNA (253 nucleotides) under uncultured bacterium. Its description in RNAcentral is "partial 16S ribosomal RNA". It matches the Rfam family "Bacterial small subunit ribosomal RNA", at positions 524 to 776 of the family's 1533-position model. The record is from RNAcentral.